GAAUUCGAUUCAGGCCUAACACAUGCAAGUCGAACGGCAGCGCGGGGCAACCUGGCGGCGAAAAAAAAACGGGUGAGUAAAGCAUCGGAACGUAUCCGGGAGUGGGGGAUAACGUAGCGAAAGUUACGCUAAUACCGCAUAUUCUCUGAGGAGGAAAGAGGGGGCUCGCAAGACCUCUUGCUUUCGGAGCGGCCGAUGUCGGAUUAGCUAGUUGGUGGGGUAAAGGCCUACCAAGGCGACGAUCCGUAGCGGGUCUGAGAGGAAAAUCCGCCACACUGGGUCUGGGGCACGGCCCAGACUCCUACGGGAGGCAGCAGUGGGGAAUUUUG
This 329-nucleotide ribosomal RNA is filed under the name uncultured bacterium. Its description in RNAcentral is "partial 16S ribosomal RNA". It matches the Rfam family "Bacterial small subunit ribosomal RNA", at positions 43 to 366 of the family's 1533-position model. The record is from RNAcentral.